Long non-coding RNA from Mastomys coucha (southern multimammate mouse), 1826 nucleotides. RefSeq lists it as uncharacterized. The transcript has 3 exons. The record is from RefSeq and is a predicted model, not a curated record. NCBI's taxonomy places the organism in Eukaryota, Metazoa, Chordata, Mammalia, Rodentia, Muridae.
CUCAUCUUGUGAGAUGGCUAAUCUUAGUUGUCAACUUGACUUCAUCUGGAAUCAACUAACACUCACUCUGUUGGGCAUUCCUGUGAGGGAUUUUCCUAAUCAGAUUGUUUGAAGCGGGAAGACUCACCCUAAAUCUGGGCCAUUAAAGGACAAGGAAGAAUGAAACUUCCUGUCUGCUCGCCCUCACUUUUGCUGGCGAGUUAUCUACGCCAUUGCUGUGGCUUAUAGAAAUCAAGCCUCUUCAGGAUUCCAAAGCAGACUGAAGACCAGCAGCUCUCCAGGAAUCCUUAGGGACUGCCAGCACUAGAAUGGAACAGCAGGAGACAAGCAGCCUCAAGGACUGAACAACGUUUUGGCUUUUCUAUCAUGAGAUAGUCAUUGUUGAAGUACCUGGACCACAUGAUGUAAGACAAUCUAAUAAAUGCACAUAUAUCUAAGCCUUUGGACUCCAUGCCCCAUGGCUAUCUCUCAUCACUAGGGACCUUUGUUCCAGGACAGUAUAAACGUUUGGUAAUUCUUACUUCCUGAAGGGCAACAACCUGAACUCUCACACGUAAUCCUCCCUUCUCUCUCGUGGAUGGGCUGGGCUGAGGUCCAAUUUGUGUUGUUCCGAAAUUCUUGGGGGUGGGGCUUGCCUUGGAUCUGGUCACAUGCCUGAAGAACUCUACUCACCCCACCCCGCCAGCAGCUAUUAAAGACUAUGGCUCCAUGAGACUCCGAACCUGCACUUUUAACCGCUGCACUAUACUGCCUCCCCAUGUUAAUGAACCCAGCACUUUGGAAGAUAGAAGAAACCACAGAUGCCUGCAGAUAACAUGUUUUAUAAAUAGUUUCUACUGGCGCCAUUUCCCUUAUAUUGUAUUGUUAUAUUAAUUACUAUGUUACAAGUGAAACAACCAGGAGACCCAACGAGGUUCAAGCAAAUUCAAGGGUUUUGAUCUCUAAAAUACCAUGGUCACUACCCUCUUCUGUGGCUUUGUGUCUGCUCCUGGUUUUCUAAAGCAGUCUUUUGUUUUGCACGAACACUUGUUAUGGAGAAAUAUCAGCUACAGGGAACAAUUCACAACAGUACCUUCUACCCACUCUCCUUCCUUCCCCACAACCUCCGGUCCUGGCAAGCGCUGUUAUUUUGAAUUAAUUUGAUUGAAAGAGACAGGAAACCCACGUUUAUUUAUUUUUUCUAAAAUCGAUGAAACAAAACAUCUUUAAGAAACCUGAUGUUACCCUUUGUUCCCAACAUCAACCUUCAGAGGAGAGAAAAGAGUGCUGCCAUAAUUGAGAAAGAGGGAGAGGGCUCAGGGACACUUAGAAAUUUCAAGCAUCGUUCCUAUUGUUUUUGGUAUGCGGCAUUCUAAGGCAUUCAAAAUACCAGCCAGAGGGAAUUUCCAAGAUUGCGUAAUUCUCCAACGGAGCUGCUCUAAGUUUCUUUGACUACUCAUUUUUGAACAUUGCCUCUGGGAUGCAGGGCCCAUCCUUAGGUUAAGCUUUCUUCCUACCCCAUUCUCUGUAAGAUGACUCCUCUGUAUCCUCAGAUAACAAUUUCUAUCUGCUAGGUCUUUAUAGCACAUAGCUUCCUGUUAGAGGUCGUCCGUAUUCUGCGUUCACAGCACUCUUCAAUUCUGUAUUAUUGGUGACACAAAUGAAAAGCUUAAAGACAUCAAAAUGACACCACCAUCUCUAAUGUAAUAAAACAUCUAAUGGUGUUCGUAGGAGUAAUCGCAGCAAGAGCCUAGUGUAUGCCUGUCUUUCAGAGCCAAGUCUAGGUCUGAGGACAAGGAAAAGACAUGUAUCCCCUUUGCCUUGUCUAAUAGAUUCGUGGAAAGAUG